GUAAAUAUGAUAGCAUGCUUAUUGUAGUUAUGUCAUAACUCGUUAUUUUAUAAUUUUUUAAAUAUAUCAAUUGAUAAUAUUUGCUCUCGACUUUAUUUUGACGUUACAUUCUUGGACACACCAUUAAUUUAAUAGGUUGAAUGCUUUUUUCCGAAAAUCUUUUAUCAUUUAAAAAUCAAUGUUAUCAUGUCAGAAAUAUCUAUGGCGUUGAGAAUAGGCUAUACCAAUUACUAUGGAAAUGUCUUUUCAAUUGGACCCAAGACUGAAGACCUUACAAUUUUAUAUCAAGGUGUAAAUUAUAAAUAUAAAGCAUUAAUUUAAUAGGUUGAAUGCUUUUUUACUGAAAAUAUUUCAUCUUUUAAAAACCAAUGUUAUCAUGUAAAAUUGGUUUUGAGUAUGACAUAUCAAUUGCUAUGGAAAUGUCUUUCCAAUCGGACCCAAGACCUUACAAUUAUAUAUCAAGGUGUAAAUUAUAAGUAUAAAACAUUUAUUUCUAA
Long non-coding RNA from Adelges cooleyi (spruce gall adelgid), 497 nucleotides. RefSeq lists it as uncharacterized. The record is from RefSeq and is a predicted model, not a curated record. The transcript is spliced from 3 exons. NCBI's taxonomy places the organism in Eukaryota, Metazoa, Arthropoda, Insecta, Hemiptera, Adelgidae.